AGGAAAGGGACACAGCGAUCGACCCGGGGAUCUCCCAGUAGAUCGUGAUUGACCUGUUGGACAUCCCUGGUAUAGAGCAAUUCAAGACAAAAUCUGUAGUUUGGCCAUUGCCCUCGAGAACCUUGAAGUACGUGAUGAAAAUCAAGCAGUGGCUCUAAGACCACGAAAGACAGCACUUGUUACCUCAUACUCUGAGCUCUUGUUCUCCAGAGGCCUUAGGUAUCAAAACAUCCCAUGGGACCUGUGUCAAAUAUCAUCAUCAUCAUCCUUUUUAUUCGACCGUCAGUCAGAAAAAAGUACAUUUUGUCAAUACACAGUUAAAAACAUCCAGGAAGAUUUUAAAACUUAGCCAACACUAAAAUGGGCUAAACAGAUAGCCCCAUAUCAAUACAGUCAAUUAUAGUCUUGCGACGCUUAAAGGCUAAGAAGAGAAAUUUGGCCACCAAGGAAGGUAUAGCUCUAGUGGCGUUAUUCAGCAAGUGUAAAGCCUGGUUUUCUCCGGGUAGGAGGCUGAAUUGACAUAGGAGUCAAAUAUCUAAAGGAUCUACUACUCCCUUCCCAUCGAUGAGCUUUUAUGCUUGCGAGACUAAAUGCUUUCCCCUCCUCAGUCACCAAAGGCAGAUUCUCACACAUUCCAUUUCAAGCCCGUAUGUGUGCCUGCAAUCAAGAAGUACCUGAUUCAAUGGACCACAUUCUCUUAGAUUGUCCUUUACACAGCAGACCUCGCCAGCUGAUGCUGAGCAAAAUGUUGGACAUUCGGCCCACAACUCUGAGAAGAAGCCAAAUAAGGUUUCUCCUGGCAGAUUGGGACAAAGACAUUACUGCUUUAGUAGCUUCCCUUUUAGCCACAGUUUUACCCGAAAGGUAAAACUAUCCUUUCGGGAAACAGUCAUGGCAUAGCAGAAUAUCCAAAUGCACACCAUAGUGUGACCCUUGAUAGCUUCACCCUUGCCUUUCUAAUUAUUCCAGUUACACGAAAUGUUUUAUACUGUGAUGCCAAUAAAGGUACCUGAUUGAUUGAUUGAACACACCCUCCAACCCCAAGACUUCUAUAUUGGCAAAACCUAUCUGGUGUUUCGCAACUUUCUGAUUAGUUGCAGGACCUUAGCCAGACCUAGCAUAGUACACGCAGAAUCCACAGAAGCAAUUGGCGACUUGGCUGCUGACAGGAUAGACGAAGCAGGAACCAGGAACUUGUAGUUAGGUGUUUAUUAUAUACAGUGGACUAUUUACAGGAACAGAACACAGAUCUUUAGCUAGCUCUCUCUGACACGACUCACAACUCCUACACUCACUGACACAGAACAACUGAACCCAAACUCUGAACUACCAGUUAGUAGGCCAUUAAUUAUCACUCCCUUGAGAGAGCUUGACUAAUCAGGGAGCGGUCUCCAUGUCUCUGUUAUCACCAGGCAGACUUACUCCUUCAGAUUGCCUUCUGGCUGUCUGCCAAACCUUAAUUGACUCUGUGUGAGUAGCUGCACAUACACAGUUUCUCAACAUCUUAUAUGUGUGAGCAGGCUCCUGGUGUCCUCCUACUAGGGAAGGCUUUUCAUGCAGCAGUAUUUCACCUUGCUGAAUUCAAGAGCAGCAGUUCUGGUUAUGUUAAAUCAAUUUUAAGUUCCCUUGUUUUGCCAGAAGACCAGCAUUUGGAGAACAGCUUCACAUAUCACAUUUUAAACCAGACUCCUUUUAAGAUGCUGAGAGGUCCAGCAUCUGAAAUUCACUUCCUUCUGACUGCAGCAUGUGUCAAUGUCAUUCCUCUUCUCUCGGUUGGCAAAAAAACCUUCCCUAAAUAUGCUUAUCAUCC
Non-coding RNA from Podarcis lilfordi (Lilford's wall lizard), 1810 nucleotides. The record is from the annotation of a GenBank genome assembly. NCBI's taxonomy places the organism in Eukaryota, Metazoa, Chordata, Lepidosauria, Squamata, Lacertidae.